Long non-coding RNA from Ailuropoda melanoleuca (giant panda), 857 nucleotides. RefSeq lists it as uncharacterized. NCBI's taxonomy places the organism in Eukaryota, Metazoa, Chordata, Mammalia, Carnivora, Ursidae. The record is from RefSeq and is a predicted model, not a curated record. The transcript is spliced from 3 exons.
AUCCUGAGGGCACAGACCAGACCUGGGGACCUUCUUCCUGGUGACCAUCUGUCACCCACUUCCCAAGAGUCCCCUUUAGCAGCUCCAGUCAAGAGCUUAGAGUCAAAAGCCUAGAAACAUUCCAUUUUUUUAAAGACUCCCACAUACACAAAUAAGAUCGUCAUCAAUGGUCGGGAGACCCCUGGGACCCCUUCACAUGGCAACGUGAUAAUGCGAAGUCUAAAGAAAUCUCCAAUACACAGAUCCAUUUAAAAAUCUCACUUCCAAAAGAAACUCUCGACUUAUAGUGCGGAUGACAAAGCCAUCAGAGGCAGUUACCAUGAGGUUGCAGGACAGGACUUCCAUGUUCCAAAGUGACCAGACCAGACCAGACUAGCUUGUGGGUUUUAGGGACUCGGAUGAUGUGUCUGUGCUGACUAUUUGUUUCCAGUACCUUCCAGGUUCUCGAUCCAGCUUACACUGGAGGAAUGAAAAAGCUCUGAAAAGCUGUCUCUGAAGACAGAAGGCUUUAGUAACAAAGGCAGGUCAAGAACUGGACCUGAGGAAGGCUGGCUGGCUCUCUGUUCCCAGGAAGAACUCCUCAAAGCACAAGGGCUCAAGCGUCGAGUGCCGCCUUUGUAUCUGGCAACAUGGGAAAAGGCUUGUGAGAGAAUGUUACUUGAUAAAGGCGACAUCAUAACUACAGAUCUUUCUCAACUUACACUGGGGAUACGUCUUGAUAAGCCCGUGAAGGAGCGAGGCACUGAUCAUCCACGCGUUCUACUUCAGGCAGCUGCACCUAAUUUCACUCCAGGGUCAUCACCCCUUCCUUAUCCCUAGUCUGUAUUUUGAGAUAUUUCGAGAUGUUCAUUUCAUUC